CCUAAAGUAAUAACAAGAAAGAAACGUUUGCUGAUGGGGAAACCACAGUUUUGGUCCCAGAGGCGUUUUCAGAGACAUAUAUCCAAAAUGACUAAGAUAUGGCCCAAAGUUCUGGUGGCAAAUCAGGCACAGAGAAUCAGAAAAUCCCCAGAACCAAGAUCAGAAAGGGUAGGGUUGCAUAUGUUUCUUGGGGAAGGCCCAUAUUAUUAGAUCAGAGCUGCAACCUGACUGCCUUGCUUUCAUAUGGUUACUCUAAUCCAGAGUUCCGUAGGCGUGAAGGUUUUAUGCAAACACACAGGCGUGCUCUAAAGCAGGGGUAGGGAACCAUAGGCCCUUUAUGACUUUUGGACUUGUGUCCCAGAAUUCCUGACACAGCAAGGGCCAUAGUUCCCCACCCCUGCUCUAAAACCUUUCCUUCUCAUAGAAGACGGGGCCUGUAUUCUACCAGGCUCAUGCAUCUAGAAUGCUGAUUAUGCAAUAAACAGAGCUAUUAAGAAACUGAAGGAAUCCUAUCAUUGGUGUGCAACCACCCCAAAUGAAAGACCGUGGAAAUAUCUACCCCAGCCACACAAAAUCAGCUGAGCAAAACACUGCAAGUGAAUAUGUUUAAUAACACAACAUUGGAUUUGGAGCAAUCAAUGCAAGUGACAGUUUGAUGGAAGAGAAAUGAAGAACAGAUUUUGAUGAUUUGGAGAAAACUAUGCCCAAUGGAAACAAGAAAUGGCUCUAAGGUUUUGUUAAUUGAUUUAAAUUAAAACGGAUGUUCACUCUGCUAAAGAGCAUGUGAGGUACUGUAUCUCUUUCCUUUAUACUCCAAGCAUUUAAGCACACAGUUAGAUGAAAUAUGAGAUCAUUCAUCCAAAUUAUUGAAUAGAUUUGAUUUCAUACACUGAUCCUCAUAUUUGACAGAAUAUCAAGUACAAAGACGAUUUGGUUGGUAACACAAUUUUCUCUAGUAGUUGGUAAAAAAAAACCCACAUAAAUCAGUUUAGAUGUGUAGAUCCUAGGGUAGUGUAGAUCUGCCAAUUGGAUAUGAGUCUUGAACUCUCCACCUGAGACAUAUCUUUAUGGGUUUCAGAUGAGGUAGAUCAUCUCCACAAAGACAGACGUGGAGGGUUGUCUAAUGUCAUGCAGAUGAAGUAAAAAGCUUGUUCCAUCUCUACUACUACUAAUUAUCUCACAAUGGAACAAAUGGCCUGCGGAAAACAUUUUAUUUGGGUCACUUCUGUAAAGCAUUAUGGAUCAUUUUUGUAAACCACGGUGGAAAUAUUUUUAACUUCUAUCCAGGUCAGCUACUAUUGCAAGGAAAAUGACUAAUACAUUCUCAAAUCAAAAUAUAAGGCUAAGUCACCUUGGUAACUAUGCCUGCUCAUAAGGAAUGGUUAUAAAGUCGGUGAGAAUUUUGCACCUUGAAAAUAUGCCUUUCUUAGUAUUCUGCUUAGGUAGGAAACUAUAUUCCAAAGGGUUAUAUGUCCGAAUAAUUUUGGUCCCAACCAAAUCUGGGAAAUGACUGUAUUAUCCCAGAUUGUCAUUACCAUUAAAUCCUUGAUUUUAAUGAAUCAAGUUCUAACAUUUAGAUCAAUUGUUGCAUUAUGAAAUGCUUUAGUUUAGACCCCAUUCAAUGUGCCUGGAAGGCAGUACAAUUUUAAACCUUGUAUUUUAAAACAUACAUUAACGACAAUUUAGAAGUUUGUCCUAAUUGGGAGAAAAACCAGCAGAAUUUCAAAGUACUAUUUUGGCAAUCCGUCUUCUACAUAUCAGCAUGCAGAUCAGAUGAGGGAGGAGUACUUCAUCUUCUAUCAAACAUGAGAGUCAAAUCAUAUACUUGUAUUUGUUAAGAUACAGAAAACAGAUUUUUU
Non-coding RNA from Pseudonaja textilis, 1859 nucleotides. NCBI's taxonomy places the organism in Eukaryota, Metazoa, Chordata, Lepidosauria, Squamata, Elapidae. The record is from RefSeq and is a predicted model, not a curated record.